UCAAGCUCACACUAUCAUUGUACUCACCAACCAACCCUUGAAAGCCAUAUUUCAGAGAUUGGACAUGUUUGGUCAUCUGAAAAAGUGAAAAAUUGAGCUCAAAGAGUUCAACAUUGAGUACCAGCCCCAUACAUCAAUAAAGACAUAAAUACUAGUGGACUUCAUCAUCAAAUACACGAUCCCUGAAGACAAAUCAAGUUUAAACACUUCAGAACCAGAGAUGAUUGCACAAGACAACUGGUGGAUAUUGCACGU
This 255-nucleotide long non-coding RNA is filed under the name Elaeis guineensis (African oil palm). Its description in RNAcentral is "long non-coding RNA (EGUI_LNC003711)". The record is from RNAcentral. Lineage: Eukaryota; Viridiplantae; Streptophyta; Magnoliopsida; Arecales; Arecaceae.